This 308-nucleotide unclassified non-coding RNA is filed under the name uncultured Hemistropharia. Its description in RNAcentral is "sequence contains ITS2". The stretch from base 1 to 52 matches the Rfam family "5.8S ribosomal RNA", at positions 103 to 154 of the family's 154-position model. Lineage: Eukaryota; Fungi; Basidiomycota; Agaricomycetes; Agaricales; Strophariaceae. The record is from RNAcentral.
AACGCACCUUGCGCUCCUUGGUAUUCCGAGGAGCAUGCCUGUUUGAGUGUCAUUAAUUUCUCAACCUUACUAGCUUUAUUGCCAGUCUGGCUUGGACUUGGGGGUUUUUUGCCGGCUUCUAACAUAACUGAGGUCAGCUCCCCUUAAAUGCAUUAGCUGGUGCCCCGUCGUGGACAUUCGUCUAUUGGUGUGAUAAUUAUCUACGCCGUGGAUGGUCUGCGUUUACUGCGCUGCUUACAAUCGUCCCUUUGGACAAAUCUAAUGACUAUUUUGACCUCAAAUCAGGUAGGACUACCCGCUGAACUUAA